CGAGGUUUAGCAAAUCUCUUAAAGCCGUUCUCAGUUCGGAUUGUAGGCUGCAACUCGCCUACAUGAAGUCGGAAUCGCUAGUAAUCGCGGAUCAGCAUGCCGCGGUGAAUACGUUCCCGGGCCUUGUACACACCGCCCGUCACACCAUGAGAGUUUGUAACACCCAAAGCCGGUGGGGUAACCUUUUGGAGCCAGCCGUCUAAGGUGGGACAGAUGAUUGGGGUGAAGUCGUAACAAGGUAGC
RNAcentral lists this ribosomal RNA (243 nucleotides) under uncultured bacterium. Its description in RNAcentral is "partial 16S ribosomal RNA". It matches the Rfam family "Bacterial small subunit ribosomal RNA", at positions 1258 to 1500 of the family's 1533-position model. The record is from RNAcentral.